RNAcentral lists this ribosomal RNA (369 nucleotides) under uncultured organism. RNAcentral's name for it is "partial 16S ribosomal RNA". It matches the Rfam family "Bacterial small subunit ribosomal RNA", at positions 527 to 896 of the family's 1533-position model. The record is from RNAcentral.
GAGAGGUGCAAACGUUAUUCGGAAUCAUUGGGCGUAAAGGGUGUGUAGGCGGCUUAUUAAGUUUGUUGUUAAAUAUCUCGGCCUAACCGAGAACAGGCAAUGAAAACUGAUUAGCUAGAGGAUGGAAGAGAGGAGUGGAAUUCUCGGAGUAGCGGUAAAAUGCGUAGAUCUCGAGAGGAACACCGAUGGCGAAGGCAGCUCCUUGGUCCAUAUCUGACGCUGAGGCACGAAAGCGUGGGUAGCAAACAGGAUUAGAUACCCUGGUAGUCCACGCCGUAAACGAUGAUCACUAGAUGUCGGUUCCGUUGAGGAAUCGGUGUCGUAGCUAACGCGAUAAGUGAUCCGCCUGGGAGUACGGUCGCAAGAUUA